Molecule: long non-coding RNA, 1156 nt
Organism: Bombus terrestris (buff-tailed bumblebee)
Lineage: Eukaryota; Metazoa; Arthropoda; Insecta; Hymenoptera; Apidae
Exons: 2
Source: RefSeq, a predicted model, not a curated record
ACUCAAUGUUUUUGGAUACGACUAAAGAUGAAGUUGAACCCAGUAGGUUUUCGAAUUUAUUACAUUUAGAAAAGACAUAAAAUUAAAAGGUCACAGGCUACCAAUUUCGUGAAAAAAAAUAUACAAAACUAUCGACAACUUAUGAUAUUUGUUGAAGUACACUUUUGUGUACUUCAACUUCUGCUUAGAUACCAAAAUACUUCUUAUUCAUAAAAAUGUAUACAAAUAUGUGAGAUCAAUAAUAAUCAUGUAGUCGUGGAACAUUUCUUCUCAACAUUUGAAGAUUUUCUUUUCAAAAAUUAUUUGAAUGUUAUUUCAAAGUGUACAUAAUAAUUAUACUAUAUAUGCCUCGUUUCGUUGACCCAUUUUGUAAGAUAUGUUAUUAACAGUAUAAGAAACAUCGCGUAUUAUUAAACAUGGGUUAAGGUCAAAUAUCUUUUUUAUGAUAUUUUCUAAAUAAUUAUUAAUAAAACAUGUGUUAUACUGACUAUAAUUUAUAUCAAGAUUAAUAAAUGUCAUAUUAAUGUAAUAGCUACAAAAUAUUGUUAAACUAGUGUAUAAUACUAAAAAUUACUUUUCUUUAUUAAAAAGGAGAAAAGAAAAAAAGAUGAAUGUAUAAGUGAUGAGAAAAUUCUAUGUAUGUACAUGAUAAUAUAAUAAAAAUGAAAGUAAAAUGAAAUAUAUCAUUUUAUAUUCAUAAUAUGUGCUUUAAAAAUAUAUUAUUGCUAGUUACAUAAAUUAUCUUUCUAUUGCAUUAUAUAUUAUGUACAUACAUAAGAGGAAGAAACAAAACAUACUGAAAAACAUAUAUUGUAUAUAUACAUAUAUAUACAUUUCUGAAGACACAAUCUUUUUCAAGAAGGACUAAAACGAUAUAGUUAUAUCAUAUAUUGAAACUAGAUAAACUAUGUAAAGUAAUAUAAAGUAUUGUAACUAAAACAUAAGAUAUGAAUGCAAUUAAAUUUAACGAAUAGCUAAUAAUGUUUAUCUAAUCAUAUCAUGUUAAUGUUUAUCAUAUCAUAUAAUGUUUAUCUAAUCAUUUAGUGUUAUUAUAGAUGUUAUUUGCUUAGUCUAUUAAAAAUUGGAUUAAUAUCAGUGUAUUUGUAGUAUUCAUAUUUAUAUAGAUAUUCUUAAAUAAAUGACAUUUUCAUAAGAA